Molecule: small nucleolar RNA, 121 nt
Filed under: Castor canadensis (American beaver)
Lineage: Eukaryota; Metazoa; Chordata; Mammalia; Rodentia; Castoridae
Description: Small nucleolar RNA SNORA32 (ENSCCNG00000005030.1)
Source: RNAcentral
UAUUCAUUUUCCUUGAAGAAGAAUGUUAAGAAUCAAAUAGACUCAUUUGCUGUGGACAUGACCAUAAAAAUUCUCCCACUAGGUUUUCUGUAUGCUUUGUUAGCAGUCACUGGGGAGACUA